RNAcentral lists this ribosomal RNA (446 nucleotides) under uncultured bacterium. RNAcentral describes it as "bacterial SSU rRNA". It matches the Rfam family "Bacterial small subunit ribosomal RNA", at positions 330 to 792 of the family's 1533-position model. The record is from RNAcentral.
UCCAGACUCCUACGGGAGGCAGCAGUCGGGAAUAUUGCGCAAUGGAGGAAACUCUGACGCAGUGACGCCGCGUAUAGGAAGAAGGUUUUCGGAUUGUAAACUAUUGUCGUUAGGGAAGAUACAAGACAGUACCUAAGGAGGAAGCCCCGGCUAACUAUGUGCCAGCAGCCGCGGUAAUACAUAGGGGGCAAGCGUUAUCCGGAUUUAUUGGGUGUAAAGGGUGCGCAGGCGGUACGGCGAGUCUGAUGUGAAAACCCGGGGCCCAACCCCGGGACCGCACCGGAUACUGCCGGACUCGAGUGCCGGAGGGGCAGGCGGAAUUCCUGGUGUAGCGGUGAAAUGCGCAGAUAUCAGGAGGAACACCGGUGGCGAAGGCGGCCUGCUGGACGGUAACUGACGCUGAGGCUCGAAAGCGUGGGGAGCGAACAGGAUUAGAUACCCGAGUA